UCCGUCCAUCCGUCUGUCCGUUUGUACGAGGGGGAUAUUGUGAGACUUUUUUGACCUUCUGGGACUAUAAAGAAAGUCCCACAAAAAUUUUCGAAAUUUGUCCAUUUCUGAAGUCCCACAUUGAUAAUUUUCCUUUUUUUUAUGAAGUCCCACAAGAUUUUGGACAUAUUUGGUUGGACAAAUCUGUCUAUGUGAUGGACUUCUCCAUAAAAUUUCUUCUAGCCUCAUUUUGGAUUUCAAUUUUGGAACCUCUCAGGUUUUUACCAUAUGACAUAAUGUAGCCUCACUCAUUCGCUGUUCGGAACACCUCGAGAAUUUUCCACUUUGCUAUGAAAUUGGCUUCUAUUGCUGAUAAACUGUGCUGUUAAAAGUUCAGCUGUCAUGGCAAAUUUAGUUUAAUUAGCGUCAGCGGACAUACUGCAAUUGUCUCUGGUGGAAAUAACUUUCUUAUUAAGAUGAUGAACUUGUCAGAUUCACAGCUGCAGUGGGCAUGUGACCAUUUUGGUCACACAAAAGCAGUUCAUUUAAACCACAGCGGUUACCUUGAACGAGUUCAGAUUGCAAAGCUCAUGAUUGUUCAUGACAUGAAUCUUACAGGUGAAUUAAAGGGGAAAACCCUUGCAGACAAAGAAUUGAAUGAGGCCGUGUUAAAGAAAAUUCAGGGGGAAAUUGGAGGUGCAGACGAAGCAGUGGAGCCCCUGAAUUUUAAAUUCAACUUCGAUGAUAAUGUCGAAGAUCUGGAUUCAAUCGACAUUUAUGAUUAUGAUCAGGAUGAUGUUGAUAGUGUUGAAAAAAAUGAUCGCAAGCCGAAGAGCAGUAGGAAAAGGUGGACUGAAGAGGAGAUUGAAGAAAUUCAACAGUAUUUUGCCAAAUUUCUAAAGACAAAAACAUGCCCCAGCAAGACAUACACACUAAAAGCCAUUGAGAAAAGUAAAACAAAAGGGGGGGGGCACUCGCCAAAAGAUUUUGGCAUACUAUUGUCAAAAAAAUUUCUAACAUGAACAAAAAGUAACUGAGUGAAGUUUUCCAGAGAUACUGCAGUGAAAUCAGGAAGUGGAAGAUACUUUUAACUAUGCAUAAUAUUGUGAACAAAGUUAUUGUUUUACAAGAUUUAAAAUUCUUUUUACCUGAAUGUAGACCAAAGGAUUUAGUGAUUGCAAGAAAUUGUAAACUUCAAAAUUUUGUACUGUGAAAAUAUAUUGUAUUUAAGUUACUACCGGUCCAAAUAUAAUAUCAUGAUUCCCAUUUCUAUUGUUUUGAAUCAUAUGAUAUAAUAUUUUAUCAUAGAAUAUGAUAUUGUAAAAUAUUGUAUGGUUCAAUAUGAUAUUUAAUCAAUAAUUUUUCGUAUCAAAUCAUAUGGUAUUUUAUAUUGUAUUAUAUAUUUUGGAUU
Molecule: RNA transcript, 1390 nt
Organism: Magallana angulata
Lineage: Eukaryota; Metazoa; Mollusca; Bivalvia; Ostreida; Ostreidae
Exons: 4
Source: RefSeq, a predicted model, not a curated record